GACGAACGCUGGCGGCGUGCUUAACACAUGCAAGUCGAGCGGAAAGGCCCUGCUUUUGUGGGGUGCUCGAUUGGCGAACGGGUGAGUAACACGUGUGUAUCCUGCCCUUGUCUUUGGGAUAAAUUCAGGGAACUGGGGCUAAUACCGGAUAGAAGCUCCUGCUGCAUGGUGGGGGUUGGAAAAUUUCGGCGGUUGGGGCUGGACUCGCGGCUUCUCAGCUUGUUGGUGGGGUAGUUGCUUACCCAGGCUUUGACGGGUAGCCGGCCUGAGAGGGGGACCGGCGACAUGGGGACUGCGAGACGGCCCAGACUCCUACGGGAGGCAGCAGUGGAGAAUAUUGCAGAAUGGGCGGAAGCCUGAUGCAGCGACGCCGCGUGCGGGAUGACGGCCUUCGGGUUGUAAACAGCUUUCGCCUGUGACGAAGCGUGAGUGACGGUAAUGGGUAAAGAAGCACCGGCUAACUACGUG
Molecule: ribosomal RNA, 468 nt
Filed under: uncultured bacterium
Lineage: Bacteria
Description: partial 16S ribosomal RNA
Rfam family: Bacterial small subunit ribosomal RNA
Source: RNAcentral